Molecule: ribosomal RNA, 253 nt
Filed under: uncultured bacterium
Lineage: Bacteria
Description: partial 16S ribosomal RNA
Rfam family: Bacterial small subunit ribosomal RNA
Source: RNAcentral
UACGGAGGUGGCAAGCGUUGCUCGGAAUCACUGGGCGUAAAGAGCGUGUAGGCGGUCCGGUCAGUCGGUUGUGAAAGUCAAGGGCUCAACCCUUGAAUGCCGGCCGAUACUGCCGGGCUAGAGUCCGGAAGAGGUGAGUGGAAUUCCAGGUGUAGCGGUGAAAUGCGUAGAUAUCUGGAGGAACACCGGUGGCGAAGGCGGCAUCCUGGACCAUUACUGACACUGAAUAGCGAAAGCCGGGGGAGCAAACGGG